AAGAGACAGAUGAGGGAGACACACUUACUUUGCAAAUGCAAUAAUUACAAAUAAGUACUUUCUUUACUUACAGGGUUACCAGCCUCAAGGUGGCAGUUCCUAUGGCCAGGGCUACCAGCCUCAAGGUGGCAGUUCCUAUGGCCAGCAGGGUGGAUAUCCUUCUUCAGGUGGUAGCAGUGGUUGUGGACAAGUAAGUUCCCUUUCUCCAAACUAUUUGAAAACUAAACCCAGCCUUCUGUUUAGUAGUUACAUAUUUUU
Molecule: long non-coding RNA, 258 nt
Filed under: Dromaius novaehollandiae (emu)
Lineage: Eukaryota; Metazoa; Chordata; Aves; Casuariiformes; Dromaiidae
Description: lncRNA (ENSDNVG00000007016.1)
Source: RNAcentral